Molecule: ribosomal RNA, 419 nt
Filed under: bacterium
Lineage: Bacteria
Description: partial 16S ribosomal RNA
Rfam family: Bacterial small subunit ribosomal RNA
Source: RNAcentral
UGGGGGAUAUUGCACAAUGGGCGCAAGCCUGAUGCAGCGACGCCGCGUGGGGGAUGAAGGCCUUCGGGUUGUAAACUUCUUUUGCUCUGAACAAGGCGCACUUUGGGGUGUGUUGAGUGUAGGGGUUGAUUAGCGCCGGCUAACUACGUGCCAGCAGCCGCGGUAAUACGUAGGGCGCGAGCGUUGUCCGGAAUUAUUGGGCGUAAAGGGCUUGUAGGUGGCUGGUUGCGUCUGUCGUGAAAGCUCAUGGCUUAACUGUGGGUUUGCGGUGGGUACGGGCUGGCUUGAGUGCAGUAGGGGAGGCUGGAAUUCCUGGUGUAGCGGUGGAAUGCGCAGAUAUCAGGAGGAAUACCGGAGGCGAAGGCGGGUCUCUGGGCUGUUACUGACACUGAGGAGCGAAAGCAUGGGGAGCGAACAGG